CCUACGGGUGGCAGCAGUGGGGAAUAUUGGACAAUGGGGGCAACCCUGAUCCAGCCAUGCCGCGUGUGUGAAGAAGGCCCUCGGGUUGUAAAGCACUUUCAGUGAGGAAGAACGCCUGGUGGUUAAUACCCAUCAGGAAAGACAUCACUCACAGAAGAAGCACCGGCUAACUCCGUGCCAGCAGCCGCGGUAAUACGGAGGGUGCGAGCGUUAAUCGGAAUUACUGGGCGUAACGCGCGCGUAGGUGGCUUGAUAAGCCGGUUGUGAAAGCCCCGGGCUCAACCUGGGAACGGCAUCCGGAACUGUCAAGCUAGAGUGCAGGAGAGGAAGGUAGAAUUCCCGGUGUAGCGGUGAAAUGCGUAGAGAUCGGGAGGAAUACCAGUGGCGAAGGCGGCCUUCUGGACUGACACUGACACUGAGGUGCGAAAGCGUGGGUAGCAAACAGGAUUAGAUACCCGUGUAGUC
RNAcentral lists this ribosomal RNA (465 nucleotides) under Vreelandella stevensii. Its description in RNAcentral is "partial 16S ribosomal RNA". It matches the Rfam family "Bacterial small subunit ribosomal RNA", at positions 338 to 795 of the family's 1533-position model. Lineage: Bacteria; Pseudomonadati; Pseudomonadota; Gammaproteobacteria; Oceanospirillales; Halomonadaceae. The record is from RNAcentral.